RNAcentral lists this small nuclear RNA (113 nucleotides) under Castor canadensis (American beaver). The record is from RNAcentral. Lineage: Eukaryota; Metazoa; Chordata; Mammalia; Rodentia; Castoridae.
GUGCUCGCUUCGGCAGCACAUAUACUAAAAACAAAUUGGAACGAUACAGAGAAGCUUAGGCAUGGCCUCUACACAAGGAUGACAUGCAAAUUAGUGAAGCAUUCAAUAUUUAA